AACGAACGCUGGCGGCAGGCUUAACACAUGCAAGUCGAGCGCGCCCUUCGGGGUGAGCGGCGGACGGGUGAGUAACGCGUGGGAACGUGCCCUCUUCUGCGGAAUAGCCACUGGAAACGGUGAGUAAUACCGCAUACGCCCUUUUGGGGAAAGAUUUAUCGGAGGAGGAUCGGCCCGCGUUGGAUUAGGUAGUUGGUGGGGUAAUGGCCUACCAAGCCGACGAUCCAUAGCUGGUUUUAGAGGAUGAUCAGCCACACUGGGACUGAGACACGGCCCAGACUCCUACGGGAGGCAGCAGUGGGGAAUCUUAGACAAUGGGCGCAAGCCUGAUCUAGCCAUGCCGCGUGAGUGACGAAGGCCCUAGGGUCGUAAAGCUCUUUCGCCUGUGAUGAUAAUGACAGUAGCAGGUAAAGAAACCCCGGCUAACUCCGUGCCAGCAGCCGCGGUAAUACGGAGGGGGUUAGCGUUGUUCGGAAUUACUGGGCGUAAAGCGCGCGUAGGCGGAUUGGAAAGUUGGGGGUGAAAUCCCGGGGCUCAACCCCGGAACUGCCUCCAAAACUUCCAGUCUGGAGUUCGAGAGAGGUGAGUGGAAUUCCGAGUGUAGAGGUGAAAUUCGUAGAUAUUCGGAGGAACACCAGUGGCGAAGGCGGCUCACUGGCUCGAUACUGACGCUGAGGUGCGAAAGUGUGGGGAGCAAACA
This 700-nucleotide ribosomal RNA is filed under the name uncultured bacterium. Its description in RNAcentral is "bacterial SSU rRNA". It matches the Rfam family "Bacterial small subunit ribosomal RNA", at positions 28 to 774 of the family's 1533-position model. The record is from RNAcentral.